RNAcentral lists this ribosomal RNA (207 nucleotides) under uncultured bacterium. Its description in RNAcentral is "partial 16S ribosomal RNA". It matches the Rfam family "Bacterial small subunit ribosomal RNA", at positions 568 to 774 of the family's 1533-position model. The record is from RNAcentral.
CCAGUAGGCGGCCAACUAAGUCCGACGUGAAAUCCCAAGGCCUAACCUUGGAACUGCGUCGGAUACUGGAUGGCUUGAAUUCGGGAGAGGGAUGCAGAAUUCCAGGUGUAGCGGUGAAAUGCGUAGAUAUCUGGAGGAAUACCGGUGGCGAAGGCGGCAUCCUGGACCGACAUUGACGCUGAACGGCGAAAGCUAGGGGAGCAAACG